This 69-nucleotide transfer RNA is filed under the name Xenopus laevis (African clawed frog). It matches the Rfam family "tRNA". From Rfam's summary of the family: Transfer RNA (tRNA) molecules are approximately 80 nucleotides in length. Their secondary structure includes four short double-helical elements and three loops (D, anti-codon, and T loops). Further hydrogen bonds mediate the characteristic L-shaped molecular structure. tRNAs have two regions of fundamental functional importance: the anti-codon, which is responsible for specific mRNA codon recognition, and the 3' end, to which the tRNAs corresponding amino acid is attached (by aminoacyl-tRNA synthetases). tRNAs cope with the degeneracy of the genetic code in two manners: having more than one tRNA (with a specific anti-codon) for a particular amino acid; and 'wobble' base-pairing, i.e. permitting non-standard base-pairing at the 3rd anti-codon position. Lineage: Eukaryota; Metazoa; Chordata; Amphibia; Anura; Pipidae. The record is from Rfam by way of RNAcentral.
AAGGCUUUACGUUAAUUAAAGUGUUUGAGUUGCAUUCAAUUGAUGUUGGAUAAAAUCCUGCAAGCCUUA